CAGUAGCCACGGGAAAACGAAGGGGGCUAGCGUUGUUCGGAAUCACUGGGCGUAAAGGGCGCGUAGGCGGAUCACGCAGUCAGAUGUGAAAUUCCUGGGCUUAACCUGGGGGCUGCAUUUGAGACGCGUGGUCUAGAGUGUGAAAGAGGGUCGUGGAAUUCCCAGUGUAGAGGUGAAAUUCGUAGAUAUUGGGAAGAACACCGGUGGCGAAGGCGGCGACCUGGUUCAUGACUGACGCUGAGGCGCGAAAGCGUGGGGAGCAAACAGGAUUAGAGACCCCAGUAGUCCCUGUCUCUUAUAC
This 301-nucleotide ribosomal RNA is filed under the name uncultured bacterium. RNAcentral describes it as "partial 16S ribosomal RNA". It matches the Rfam family "Bacterial small subunit ribosomal RNA", at positions 509 to 807 of the family's 1533-position model. The record is from RNAcentral.